RNAcentral lists this non-coding RNA (129 nucleotides) under Ligilactobacillus apodemi DSM 16634 = JCM 16172. Its description in RNAcentral is "Lactobacillus apodemi DSM 16634 = JCM 16172 Enterococcus sRNA 68 (Lacto-3 RNA)". It matches the Rfam family "Enterococcus sRNA 68 (Lacto-3 RNA)". Rfam says of the family: Name 'Ref' stands for RNA in E. faecalis. Also known as Lacto-3 RNA. Lineage: Bacteria; Bacillati; Bacillota; Bacilli; Lactobacillales; Lactobacillaceae. The record is from Rfam by way of RNAcentral.
UGCGAUGAGUCGAGAAGGACCAAGUAACAUUUUUGUUACUCCGCUGCGGCGGCUAGUGGUCAGUGUCGAUAGCAGAGCACAUUUGCUGCCGGAUUGCAGCGUGCUUGAAUACAUUACAUUGUGGAGUGU